Molecule: long non-coding RNA, 670 nt
Filed under: Ananas comosus (pineapple)
Lineage: Eukaryota; Viridiplantae; Streptophyta; Magnoliopsida; Poales; Bromeliaceae
Description: long non-coding RNA (ACOM_LNC037059)
Source: RNAcentral
UUCUUCCGCCUUAUCAAUUCUCUGAAUUUCAUCCAUAAGAUGAUUCUUAAGUCCUCUCACACUGUAAAAUUCUUUUACGCACCACUCCUUGAUCCUGAUAUGACAGUGUUUGAGUUUUGCUGUGUAGCAUACCGGAUUUUAAAAUAAGAAUAAAAAUAAAUAAAAAUAGUUUGAGAUACUAUUUUUAUUGGACUUAUAGAAGUAAAAUAUAAGUCGGGAACGGCUCGUGUGGAAAUCGGAACGAGAACAUAAGAUUUUGAAUUUUCUGUGUGAAUCGAGGCUGUUAUUUUAGCAGAAAAUGCACAGUGUCAGAAAAUUCUGAAAAUCUGAAAAUUUAUUAGAAUUAUUUUUUAUGAGGCUAAAUUUAAAGUUUCAUGUCAUUCUGACACCCGGAAGGUGAAAAAUAAAAUCUGACAGUUAUCUGAUAAAUAUUACAGUUCGGUACAGCUUUCGGUGACCAAACGGGGUCGAAGCUGAAAGAUUAAAAUUUCUUUCGUUAAGUUAAGCAAAACCAAAUAUGACUUUCAAAUUUGAGCUCAAACAAAUAUUCAGAGGGCUCCGGAGAAAGAUAUCAGAUUUCGUACUGCCUGAAGUGAAUAGUGUAUGCUACUAUUGGGGUGUUGACUAUAAGUAGAAACUUCUAGUCUUCUUCUUUUUCACAGCCACCACC